This 313-nucleotide ribosomal RNA is filed under the name Spodoptera frugiperda (fall armyworm). RNAcentral's name for it is "partial large subunit ribosomal RNA". The record is from RNAcentral. Lineage: Eukaryota; Metazoa; Arthropoda; Insecta; Lepidoptera; Noctuidae.
ACGGCUGUUGGCACGGGUCGCGUCCGUCGACGUCCGAGGACGGCGUGCACUUCUCUCUUAGUAAAUACAUCGCGACCCGUUCGAUGUCGGUCUAAGCGCCGUACGGGAGCCCCGUUGCCCCUUCGCGGGGGUAGUGGGACCGCGACGGUGGCCGACCGGCCGUCGGACGGUAGUUCUGACGAAUCGCGCACGCGUUCUACACGCGUCCGGCCCGACGCAAGUCAACGUCGUAUCAUACGUCUACGCCAUAGUGCGGACGUGUGUGCGGCGCGUCUGGUGUCGCAGCCGUGCUGUCUCGGACUGUGCGCGUCUC